This 328-nucleotide long non-coding RNA is filed under the name Elaeis guineensis (African oil palm). Its description in RNAcentral is "long non-coding RNA (EGUI_LNC030070)". Lineage: Eukaryota; Viridiplantae; Streptophyta; Magnoliopsida; Arecales; Arecaceae. The record is from RNAcentral.
AUAACACUUCAGUAAUAAUACAAUAAAAGCAAUGUCUAGACGUAUACAAACCUACACAUAAUUUACACUCCCAAUAAUAAAUGCAUACGACAGUCAUUCGCACCCUACCAUUUAAUCGCUUGGCGAAUGACUGUUGAAUGGAGCGUAUCCUGACGGUCCGGACAUGAUGUCUGAAAAUAAUAUCUGAUUUGUUGGCUUUCGGUGGUACUGAAGUGACAUACUCACCUAUUGGGUUCGCCUAUAUGAUGGGAAGGAGGCCACCUAUUCAUCUAAACUCGGUCCCGAAUUGAACAUUCUCCAGUAGAAGUUAGGGCCCUAUGGUCACGCC